This 254-nucleotide ribosomal RNA is filed under the name uncultured bacterium. Its description in RNAcentral is "partial 16S ribosomal RNA". It matches the Rfam family "Bacterial small subunit ribosomal RNA", at positions 524 to 776 of the family's 1533-position model. The record is from RNAcentral.
UACGUAGGGGGCGAGCGUUGUCCGGAUUUAUUGGGCGUAAAGAGCUCGUAGGCGGCUUAGCAAGUCGGGUGUGAAAACUACAGGCUCAACCUGGAGACGCCACUCGAGACUGCUAUGGCUAGAGUCCGGUAGGGGACCACGGAAUUCCUGGUGUAGCGGUGAAAUGCGCAGAUAUCAGGAGGAACACCGGUGGCGAAGGCGGUGGUCUGGGCCGGCACUGACGCUGACACGCGAAAGCUAGGGGAGCGAACGGG